AUACGGAGGGUGCAAGCGUUACUCGGAAUCACUGGGCGUAAAGCGCGCGCAGGCGGCUUGAUAAGUUGGAUGUGAAAGCCUACGGCUCAACCGUAGAACUGCAUCCAAAACUGUCAGGCUAGAGUGUGGGAGAGGAAGAUGGAAUUAGUUGUGUAGGGGUAAAAUCCGUAGAGAUAACUAGGAAUACCAAAAGCGAAGGCAAUCUUCUGGAACACUACUGACGCUGAGGCGCGAAAGCGUGGGGAGCAAACGGGAUUAGAAACCCCAGUAGUCC
RNAcentral lists this ribosomal RNA (274 nucleotides) under uncultured bacterium. RNAcentral describes it as "partial 16S ribosomal RNA". It matches the Rfam family "Bacterial small subunit ribosomal RNA", at positions 523 to 796 of the family's 1533-position model. The record is from RNAcentral.